Molecule: non-coding RNA, 109 nt
Organism: Acanthosepion pharaonis
Lineage: Eukaryota; Metazoa; Mollusca; Cephalopoda; Sepiida; Sepiidae
Source: the annotation of a GenBank genome assembly
UAUACAGCGUUGAAACACUGCUUCCCGUAUGAUCAACGAAGUUAAGAAACGUCGCGGCUGGUUCAGUACCGAGAUGGGUGACCUUUUUGGGAAUACCAGUUGCUGUAAG